RNAcentral lists this ribosomal RNA (468 nucleotides) under uncultured bacterium. Its description in RNAcentral is "partial 16S ribosomal RNA". It matches the Rfam family "Bacterial small subunit ribosomal RNA", at positions 28 to 507 of the family's 1533-position model. The record is from RNAcentral.
GACGAACGCUGGCGGCGUGCUUAACACAUGCAAGUCGAACGGAAAGGCCCUGCUUUUGUGGGGUGCUCGAGUGGCGAACGGGUGAGUAACACGUGAGUAACCUGCCCUUGACUGUGGGAUAACUUCAGGAAACUGGGGCUAAUACCGGAUAGGAGCUCCUGCUGCAUGGUGGGGGUUGGAAAGUUUCGGCGGUUGGGGAUGGACUCGCGGCUUAUCAGCUUGUUGGUGGGGUAGUGGCUUACCAAGGCUUUGACGGGUAGCCGGCCUGAGAGGGUGACCGGCCACAUUGGGACUGAGAUACGGCCCAGACUCCUACGGGAGGCAGCAGUGGGGAAUAUUGCCCAAUGGGCGGAAGCCUGAUGCAGCAACGCCGCGUGCGGGAUGACGGCCUUCGGGUUGUAAACCGCUUUCGCCUGUGACGAAGCGUGAGUGACGGUAAUGGGUAAAGAAGCACCGGCUAACUACGUG